GGGGGGAUAGCGUAGUUGGAGUGUAAUACGCCUAGAAUGCUUGCCUCCGGCAGGUCGUCGGUUCGAAUCCGGCUCCCCCCU
RNAcentral lists this transfer RNA (81 nucleotides) under Thermothielavioides terrestris NRRL 8126. RNAcentral describes it as "tRNA-Ser (AGA) (tRNA-Ser-AGA-2-1)". It matches the Rfam family "tRNA". Rfam says of the family: Transfer RNA (tRNA) molecules are approximately 80 nucleotides in length. Their secondary structure includes four short double-helical elements and three loops (D, anti-codon, and T loops). The record is from RNAcentral. Lineage: Eukaryota; Fungi; Ascomycota; Sordariomycetes; Sordariales; Chaetomiaceae.